GACGUAGGGCGCGAGCGUUGUCCGGAUUUAUUGGGCGUAAAGAGCGUGUAGGCGGCCAGACAGGUCAGCUGUGAAAACUCGAGGCUCAACCUCGAGACGUCGGUUGAAACCGUCUGGCUAGAGUCCGGAAGAGGAGAGUGGAAUUCCCGGUGUAGCGGUGAAAUGCGCAGAUAUCGGGAAGAACACCCGUGGCGAAGGCGGCUCUCUGGGACGGUACUGACGCUGAGACGCGAAAGCGUGGGGAGCGAACAGG
RNAcentral lists this ribosomal RNA (253 nucleotides) under uncultured bacterium. RNAcentral describes it as "partial 16S ribosomal RNA". It matches the Rfam family "Bacterial small subunit ribosomal RNA", at positions 524 to 776 of the family's 1533-position model. The record is from RNAcentral.